This 609-nucleotide ribosomal RNA is filed under the name Leptonia fragilis. RNAcentral's name for it is "partial large subunit ribosomal RNA". It matches the Rfam family "Eukaryotic large subunit ribosomal RNA", at positions 182 to 776 of the family's 3401-position model. The record is from RNAcentral. Lineage: Eukaryota; Fungi; Basidiomycota; Agaricomycetes; Agaricales; Entolomataceae.
UAAAUCUUCUGGAAUGGAGUGUCAUAGAGGGUGAGAAUCCCGUCUUUGACAUGGACUACCAGGGCUUUUGUGAUACGCUCUCAAAGAGUCGAGUAGUUUGGGAAUGCAGCUCUAAAUGGGUGGUAAGUUCCAUCUAAAGCUAAAUAUAGGCAAGAGACCGAUAGCGAACAAGUACCGUGAGGGAAAGAUGAAAAGAACUUUGGAAAGAGAGUUAAACAGUACGUGAAAUUGUUGAAAGGGAAACGCUUGAAGUCAGUCAUAUUGGCUAGGGAUCAACCCUGUAGUAAUACUUGGUGUACUUCCUGGUUAAUAGGUCAGCAUCAAUUUUGACCAGUGGAAAAAGUUUGAGGAAAUGUGGCAUCUUCGGAUGUGUUAUAGUCCUUGGCCAUAUACACUGGUUGGGAUUGAGGAACUCAGCAUGCCGCAAGGCCAGGUUUUUAACCAUGUUCAUGCUUAGGAUGCUGGCAUAAUGGCUUUAAUCGACCCGUCUUGAAACACGGACCAAGGAGUCUAACAUACCUGCGAGUGUUUGGGUGGAAAACCCAAGCGCACAAGGAAAGUGAAAGUUGGGAUCUCUGUCAUGGAGAGCACCGACGCCCGGACCAGACC